Pseudoliparis swirei is the source of this 1609-nucleotide long non-coding RNA. RefSeq lists it as uncharacterized. The record is from RefSeq and is a predicted model, not a curated record. NCBI's taxonomy places the organism in Eukaryota, Metazoa, Chordata, Actinopteri, Perciformes, Liparidae. The transcript has 6 exons.
GAAAUCAUUUAAUAUCUACGUCAAUGGGCUCCACAUGAGUGGACUACACCUUUUAUUUUGAAGAAAAAAGAUUUGGAAUAAUUUUUAUGAAUAUUUUGUCAUAAUUUAUGGAAACAAUUUUCAAUAGCUUCACUGUUAUCAAGUGUAGGAUGAAACCAUUAAUUUCCUACAUCAAUGGGCUCCACAUAAGUGUGCUACACCUGGCCGGCUAUACCUCAUGAAUCAUUAUACCAUGGGUUUAAUCUUGUACGGCAUGAGAGAGCAAAUGGCCAGGCAAGGGUUAAAAAAGGUGAGUAAUUAUAUUAUUAUUAUAAAUGUUAACAUCAAGUUGUUUUGAAACAAUCCAUUUGAAAAAGCAGCUUUAGUUUUUUGGUUGUUCCGUUGGAGGAAAAAUACAUAAUGCAUACUGGGUACAUUCUAUUUGAGUUUUGCAGCAAAAUACAAUUAUAUUUCCAUUUUUACGCAUGUUGUCAGGUCACAUUUGAUGACUAUGAUGGAGCCAUUGGAUUUGUCAACAUAAGAAAUGUGCACUGGAAGUUUGUGAUCCUGUCAUCCUCACCUGAUUGUCCCUCAUUCCCUUCACCUGGUCCUCACGCCCUUCUCACCUGCAGCCCAUCCCCUCAUUAGUCCCUCACUAUUUAGCUCCCUCACUUCCACUUGUCCUCUGCCACAUUUUCUUGUGUGUCGCCGCCAAACCUUCCAGCGUUAUUAGAGUUUAUUCCUGACCUGCCUGUUACGACCCUGUUUACCCGACUCAAGAUUUUGCCUGCCCCUUUUUGGAUUUGUUGCCCUGUUGGACUGACUACCUGGUUUUGACCCUGCCUGAAACAUACAGUAAACUGCCUCCUCCUGCAUUCCGGUGUUUGUCGUGCUUUUGGGUUCCAGUACCUGUAACCCUUACACAAAUGAAGUUGACGACUCCAGAAAGGCUGGCCAAAGACACAGUAUUUCAAAAUGCGCAAGAACAGACUUGGAAAGGAGGACUGGGUGAACAUCAAGUGGCAGCCGGGCCAGAUAAUCCACACCUGCCAGAAAGAUGGCAGCAGUUGUGGGAUCUUUGUCAUGCAGAUGGCCAAGAUGACGGUGAUGGAACUACCAAAGAUUCCGCAGCAUUUUCGCAUCAACUCAUCUAAACAAUCUAUUGAAAAGCUAAGAAGAAACAUGGCUGAAGACAUUCUGAAACAAUCAGUUUCAAAGGAUGAGCUCUGUUCCUUCUGUGGAAUUGAGGACCUGCCCAAAACUGCUAUUGAUGCUGUUUGGAUUCAGUGUGGAACUUGCUCAAGAUGGUUUCACACGCAGUGCCUUGGGAUGACAGCAGCACAACUACCAAACAACAUUGGUGUUGUGAAUACUUAUGUACAUGUUAUGUUUUCGUUCUUUAUUUUUAAUAAAUGUGCAAAAAUUUGCAAAAAACAGUUUUCACUUUGUCAUUAUGGGUUUUUGUGUGUAGAAUGUUGAGGAAAAUAAUGAAUUUAAUCCAUUUUGGAAUAUGGCUGUAACAUAACAAAAUGUGGAAAAAAUCAAGCGCUGUGAAUACUUUCCGGAUGCACUGUAUAUAUUGGUAUCUGAUCAUUCAUAAAGAAUAAAUGUGGGAACUACUUGACUACUA